AUGGGGCUCUUCUCCAGCAGCGGCAGCAAGUCCAAGGGCAAGGCCCCCGUCGUCCCCUUCCCCGCGGAGUUCACCCCGCCUCCGCCUGCGCCGGCUCGCCGGCAGAGGCAGCGGGUGAACGUGCCCGUGCACCAGGCCGAGUGGCACUGGUGCCACCGCGUGCCGCUGCCCUAUCCCGAGAUGACACUGCCGCAUGGCUGGCAUCUGGAUCCGGAAAGGAUCCCAGUGCCGGUGGCGCCACGGUUGGCUAGGACGCAUGCGGAGGAGGUACGCCGCCGGCGGGCGCUCCUGCCGCUAGAGCAGCGCCGCGAUGAGGCGUACGCCUUCGACUCGCCCAACUGGGCGCGCUGGUUCGCCUUCGAGCACGAGGAGGCGAGGCGUCGCAGCGUGCGAGAACGCCUACCAGGCGGCCCUUGCGGCCGUCUACCGGGAGAGCGAGGAGGACAAGCGGCGCAGGGCGGAGGCGGCAGAAGAGGAAGAGGCUCGGUACGAGGCGACAUGGGGCAGGCCAUGGCCCUCUUCGCGGCCGGCGACUACGUGGUGCCGCCGGUGGCGUCGUCGUCCCCUCCCCGACGCCUCGUCAAGGCUGACUUGGAGCCGCAGCCGGAGCCGCAGCCGGGCUCCAUCGCGAGCUUCUCCUGGACGGGAGUGGUGCGCGAGUGGGUGUCCGCACCACCGGUUUGGAUGGAGGCGACCCUGGCGCAGGAGGCGGCGUACCUCGAGCACUGGCGCCAGCGACGGCUGGCCGAGGAGCGGCGUCAAGGCGAGUACGAAGAGAUGCUCGAGCGCGACCUCGAGGAGGAGGCGCGCGAGGCUGAGGAGGAGGCACGCCAGGCCGCGGCUGCACAGGCGGCGGCACAGCCCCCUGCGCCGGAACUACCCCCCGGGCCGACACUACCCCCCGCUGGAACAGAUACCCCUGGACUACGUCGCCGCUGCAUGGGCCAUGGCGUUCCCCUGGGCCGGCCCUCCGCCGACGCUCAUCGACCUCACCGACCCCGAGGACGACGACGACAACGACGCCUAAGGUGCGCUAGACAGCGCGCCGCCUCGUAG
This 1056-nucleotide ribosomal RNA is filed under the name Triticum aestivum (bread wheat). RNAcentral describes it as "partial small subunit ribosomal RNA". Lineage: Eukaryota; Viridiplantae; Streptophyta; Magnoliopsida; Poales; Poaceae. The record is from RNAcentral.